AUUUUAGUAUAAGUAUGUCCUAUGCCAUAUUUGGGAUAUAUUUUUACUAAAA
This 52-nucleotide microRNA precursor is filed under the name Pteropus alecto (black flying fox). RNAcentral describes it as "mir-1302 microRNA precursor family". It matches the Rfam family "mir-1302 microRNA precursor family". The record is from Rfam by way of RNAcentral. Lineage: Eukaryota; Metazoa; Chordata; Mammalia; Chiroptera; Pteropodidae.